CUGGGCUCCUCCACUCUAUUCAAAUCAAGAUCAAGCCCCCCAGAGCUACGUACAGGUGCAGAACCCAUUAUUUCAUCAUGUGACAGAUUAUGAUUACUUGAAAGGUCAGCUACAGAAUCUGAACCACGAGCAGAGUCUCGAGAAGCCAAAUCAUCAAGGAUUCUUUCAUCUGGAACAUUCAAAUCAAAAUCCAAUGGUGGACGACUGGGCUUGACCACAGCUGCAUUAGAGACUGAGAUAUUAGCCAUACCUACUGACAUCUCCAAGGGUUUUCUAGGUUCAGCCGGACGAAAAGCACUUGUGGCUGCUGAUCCCUUCCAACC
RNAcentral lists this unclassified non-coding RNA (323 nucleotides) under Hevea brasiliensis (rubber tree). Lineage: Eukaryota; Viridiplantae; Streptophyta; Magnoliopsida; Malpighiales; Euphorbiaceae. The record is from RNAcentral.